Molecule: non-coding RNA, 589 nt
Organism: Chiloscyllium plagiosum (whitespotted bambooshark)
Lineage: Eukaryota; Metazoa; Chordata; Chondrichthyes; Orectolobiformes; Hemiscylliidae
Source: RefSeq, a predicted model, not a curated record
AGACCCCGUCUCUGCUCUCCCCCAGACCCAGUCACUGCUCCCUGUCUGAGGGAGGGGGCUCUCCCCCAGGCCCAGUCCCUGCUCCCUGUCUGAGGGAGGGGGCUCUUCCCCCAGACCCUGUCCUAGUGAGGACGGGGGCUGAGGGUACCGGGUGGCACUGGGGAUAGAGGGAGGAGUGGAACACGGAGUUUGGAAAUACAGGGACGUGACUAGAUCAGAGGCCAAUUGCUUUGAGGACAGGAGUUGUUCAGGAACGACAUGUAUUUACCCCACCUUGUUAAUUUCCAUCUUGUUUGUUUUUCUAGAAUGGGAUCGCAUUUGGGAGAGACACAAACGAGAGCCCUCUGUGGUCGUGCUGUAUGAGGGAUCACUGAACACCACUGGUCUGAUCGAGUGACACUCCUGUGUGGGAUUGUGUGUGACAAGGAAACACAGUGAGGUCUGCACUCCCCACCCUGCUCUCCAGCACUGAACUGCACCCCAGCAGAAGCAGGAAACAGGGUCAAACCCUGAAAACUCAGGAUAACCAGUUGAGCAGCUAGUGUGGAAGUGUUGCAGACAAGUGAUUAAAGGCCUGUUUUUUUGCAAA